AUGCCCCUCUGCCUGACCGCGCCACGGCCAGCCCCAGAAGAUGGCGGGCGGGCCGUGAGGGGCCGGGACCCGGCCCUAAAGCACAGUGCAUGGAUCCUUCUGCAUGGACCAUCCAGAUUCCUCAUCUGGUUGCUUACUAUGGCGCAGGCAUCUCAGUCUGUCUUGUUCUACGUUUUUCUUUGGGUCAUCCUUCUUUUCUCAAGGAGGGGGCACAGAGGUAAAACAAAAACAAGGAAUGACUGUGCGGCUACUAGAUCUGCAGUUGUCUCUAGUAGUGGCCAACAUUCAGUUCUGGUAGCAUUGAUGUCUUGACCUUUAUUUUAGUAAGCAUUAUCAAGUCAGAUCUGAUUAUGUACUUAAAAUGAAAAAAAAAAAGGGACCCUUAUAUGUAAAAUAAAUUAAAUCUUGUUUUGUGUUUGUAGCUUUAA
RNAcentral lists this long non-coding RNA (428 nucleotides) under Anas platyrhynchos platyrhynchos (common mallard). RNAcentral describes it as "lncRNA (ENSAPLG00000017370.1)". Lineage: Eukaryota; Metazoa; Chordata; Aves; Anseriformes; Anatidae. The record is from RNAcentral.